GAUAAGUUUAAACCAGGAUACAAAGUGAUGGUAAAAUCAUUUAGAACACCAGGUCCCUGGCAGGCAGGUUGGGAAGGACCUUAUGUUAUUCUAAAGAAAUUUGGACAAACUGUCUUACAGGUUCAAAGAGCAAAAGUUGGUAGGAAAUGUAAUAAAGCAAGUCGUGUGCAUAUUGAUCAAUUUAAACUCACAAAUGUAUAAGAAUGCCAUCUGUUUUUCAUUACAGAAUCAAUAAUGUUUGUUCAUGGACAAAGACUGUUUAAUUUUAAAAAGGACAAAUUGUUUGGACUAUCAAAAGACACUAUGGACAAAAAGACUGCUCUCAUGAAUGCGAUUGGAGAGGACAUUACUUCAUGGACUAAAUCAAACCGAUUGGGGUUUCUUGAUAAUGUAACCUUUAUAAAAUUGCACAGCAUCAUACUGUUAUUAAUCAUGAUGAUGUUAGGUACAAUCAAUGUCCAAGGUACAGGUACUCCAGAUUGUGACAUUAGAGAUACUUUUGCUAAAUGUACAGCAUACCCCUAUGAGUGUAAAGUGAGAUAUUGUAAGACUCCUAAUGUUGAUUAUUGUGGAUGCAUUAAUGCAGACACAUCUGAGGAUGCAAUAUCUGGUAUGCUCAUAUUUCAUGAUAACCAAGAACCAUGUAUGACAUAUCUAUCAGCUGACGGACGAAUUGAUUUAAUCAUUAAUAUUACCAAGGAUCUGACAUAUAUAAUGCAAAAUAAUACUGAGAGUAGGUGUGUGGUACCUACUGGUAUAGACAACACCCUUACCCUUACUAUGUUUAAUGUGAGAAGUAUUAACGAUGAUGGGUUAAAUUGCUACAUGUACUUAAUAGAUACACUUGUCAAUCCUUACACAAAUGCUAAAGUAAAUAUUAUGAUAUAAUACCACCCAUACUAAAAAGGACUGAUACUAUUAUGAAGUAUGAUCAACGUACUUUAUAUAAUGUAAGUAUAGGUUAUGGAGCUGAUUUCUAUAAGCAGUUAAAGAACAAUGAAGAGUUAAUACAAGUAAUUGAUAAAGCUGCGACUGGAGUACAUAACACUUUAGUACAAAUACAUACAGUGCAAGGUAUGAUUAAAAGCAUUAAACAUGAUUAUAUCGAAGAAACCACAUCCUGGUGGCAAUGGUGGUUUGGGGGACAAAAGA
Non-coding RNA from Pelobates cultripes (western spadefoot toad), 1152 nucleotides. The record is from the annotation of a GenBank genome assembly. Lineage: Eukaryota; Metazoa; Chordata; Amphibia; Anura; Pelobatidae.